This 332-nucleotide unclassified non-coding RNA is filed under the name soil metagenome. Its description in RNAcentral is "partial contains 5.8S ribosomal RNA, internal transcribed spacer 2, and large subunit ribosomal RNA". The stretch from base 1 to 120 matches the Rfam family "5.8S ribosomal RNA", at positions 35 to 154 of the family's 154-position model. The record is from RNAcentral.
GAUGAAGAACGUAGCGAAAUGCGAUAAGUAAUGUGAAUUGCAGAAUUCCGUGAAUCAUCGAAUCUUUGAACGCACAUUGCGCCCGCCAGUAUUCUGGCGGGCAUGCCUGUCCGAGCGUCAUUUCAACCAUCAAGCCCCGGGCUUGUGUUGGGGACCUGCGUCCGACGCAGGCCCUGAAAACCAGUGGCGGGCUCGCUGUCCACACCGAGCGUAGUAACUAACCUCGCUAUGGAGUGGCGCGGGCGCCUGCCGUAAAACCCCCAAUUUCACAAGGUUGACCUCGGAUCAGGUAGGAAUACCCGCUGAACUUAAGCAUAUCAAUAAGCGGAGGA